GACCACGUAACUCAGUUGGCAGAGCAUUGGACUAGUAUCCCAAAGGUCGCGGGUUCGAUUCUCACCGUGGCCA
Molecule: transfer RNA, 73 nt
Filed under: Paramuricea clavata
Lineage: Eukaryota; Metazoa; Cnidaria; Anthozoa; Malacalcyonacea; Plexauridae
Rfam family: tRNA
About the family: Transfer RNA (tRNA) molecules are approximately 80 nucleotides in length.
Source: Rfam by way of RNAcentral